Non-coding RNA from Doryrhamphus excisus (bluestripe pipefish), 8817 nucleotides. The record is from RefSeq and is a predicted model, not a curated record. Lineage: Eukaryota; Metazoa; Chordata; Actinopteri; Syngnathiformes; Syngnathidae.
UCUCCAGUGUCAAUGUCAAGUGAUCUGGGAUCAGCUAUUUACGCUAGAUCAACCUCUUAAGUCCACUCAAACCGGGUAGAAAGCCUAGACUGGAAUAAGGAAGCCGAUGAGAAGGUUCCGCUAAUGAAGAUAGAAAUCACUCACACGGCACCAUCACAUUAGUUUCCAGCAUGAAUUCCCUCGCAGGAAGAACCGCGAUGAUCCUCUUCCGACGCGCCGCGACACCGGCAGGAGUUUAUCCUUUUCAGGCGUUGAGGGUGUGCCAUGGCGGUGUGAGCCGCAAAGGCAGCGUGAGCACAAAAAAACGGGGCUAUGACAUCACCAGGAACCCUCACCUGAACAAGGGAAUGGCGUUCACCUUGGAGGAGCGCUUGCAACUGGGCAUCCACGGCCUGCUGCCCCCUUGCUUCCUGUCCCAGGAUGUCCAAGUGCUACGCGUCAUGAAGAGUUACGAAACGCGUGUGAAUCCUCUGGACAAGUACAUCCUGCUGAUGACUCUCCAGGAUAGGAACGAGAAGCUCUUCUACCGAGUGCUGACCUCUGACAUCGAAGAGUUCAUGCCAAUCGUGUACACGCCCACUGUGGGCUUGGCCUGCCAACAGUACGGGCUGGCCUUCAGACGGCCGCGCGGACUUUUCAUCACCAUCCAUGAUAGAGGCCACAUUGCCACCAUGCUCAACUCCUGGCCUGAAGAGAACAUUAAGGCCAUCGUGGUGACAGACGGCGAGCGAAUCCUCGGGCUGGGCGACCUGGGCAGCUACGGCAUGGGCAUUCCUGUCGGGAAGCUGGCGCUCUAUACGGCCUGUGGCGGAGUGCAGCCGCAACAGUGCCUCCCUGUGUUAUUGGACGUGGGCACGGACAACCAGAACUUGCUCAACGACCCCUUGUACAUCGGCCUGAAGCACAACAGGAUCCGAGGAAAGGAGUACGACGCGCUAAUCGAUGAAUUCAUGCAAGCGGUGACGGACAAGUACGGCAUGAACUGCUUGAUCCAGUUUGAGGACUUUGCCAACAGCAACGCCUUCCGCAUUCUCAACAAGUACAGGAAUCGCUACUGCACCUUCAACGAUGACAUCCAGGGCACGGCCUCUGUCGCAGUUGCUGGGCUUUUGGCGGCUCUGAAGAUCACCAAAGACAAACUGUUAGACCACACCUUCGUUUUCCAGGGCGCUGGCGAGGCCGCUCUGGGGAUUGCUCACUUGCUCAUGAUGGCCAUGGCCAAGGAAGGUGUCUCCCGGGAAGAAGCUGCCAAAAGGAUCUGGAUGGUGGACUCCAAAGGCCUUAUUGUGAAGGGGAGGAGUCAUCUGAACCACGAGAAGGAAGAGUUUGCACAUGAGCACCCCCACCUGAAGACUCUGGAGGAGGUGGUGCACACCAUUAAACCCACCGCCAUCAUCGGAGUCGCCGCCAUCGCAGGGGCGUUCACCGAGAAGAUAAUCAAAGACAUGGCGUCCUUCAACGAGCGGCCCCUCAUCUUCGCCCUGAGUAACCCCACCAGCAAGGCAGAGUGCACGGCGGAGCAGUGCUACACGCUAACCGAGGGCAGAGGCAUCUUCGCCAGCGGGAGUCCCUUCAACAAGGUGACGCUGGCCGACGGCCGCUCCUUUUACCCCGGCCAGGGAAACAAUGCCUACGUCUUCCCCGGGGUGGCCUUGGGUGUCAUCGCCUGCGGAGUUCGCCACAUAUCAGACGACAUCUUCCUCACUACAGCAGAGGCGAUCGCCGACAUGGUGACAGAGGAGCACUUGGCCGAGGGACGACUCUACCCUCCUCUCAACUCCAUCAGGGAGGUGUCCUUCAAGAUUGCUGUCAAGAUUGUCAACUACGCAUACAAACACAACAUGGCGUCGCUGUACCCCGAGCCCAAGGACAAGGAGGCCUUUGUGCUGUCUCACGUCUACAGUCCCGACUACGACUCCUUCACGCUGGACACGUACACUUGGCCGCAGGAAGCCAUGAACGUCCAAGAUGUGUGACUUGACUCCCCCACCCACCCCGUGUGGCAUCAUCAAGUACACCAAGUACACUCCUUCCUCUCGGUCUGUACUCCAAAUCAUCCAGCUUGCUGUCAUCAAACUCGACAAUCCUGAUAAAUUCCAGAGACACCAACCAGAGGAUCCUUAUGACAUCCAAAUUGUCUGGGGAAUGUGUGUGCCUUACACCACGGACCUGCUUUGGAUGGCAUGAAACAUCAGCACCAGGACUAAAGGCCACAGGACAGACGUCAUCGUUGGACGGUUGGACAGGACAAGGGGGGCGACGAGCAGUUACUAUUGCAAAUAUUCACCACGAGAGUGCGCUGUAUGCUAAGGAGUGUGAUCAUGUGCCUGGCAGUGGCUAUAGGCGUGCUAAUGAAUCCAUGGAUCAAUCCACGAGUCAUUGUCGAAUAACGAACUCAUGUUUGUUCCUUGUCUAUACAUAGCAGCAACAACAACGUGUAAACAAUGUAAAGUAUUUCCUGCAUGAAAGACAGUAGCGACAGACACACUUCCGGGUCCCGUCUCGAGCCCUUAAGCCUUCUGGGGUAUGUAUGUAAACACUUAUCAUUUCUCAAUGUUGUCAACGAAAGCAGGGAUAAAAUACGCUCAUUUGUUGUAAUUUGUAUACGUGGCAUCAAAACGGACGGCAACUCCGAUUACACGUGGAAGUACGUAACCAUAAAAACCACGGCAACGUCGACUCUUCCGGUCCGUCUGGGACGCACCACUUCCCGUAGCCGGCAAUGACAACACAACUGAACACAAAAUACAGUUUUCCAAUUAAACUUUUUAUUGUGGAGGGAGAAAAAAAUAUCAAUCCUACAGGCCCCGUGUGGAAAAACUGAUUCCCCCUAAACUUGAACUGGUUGGGCCUCCCUGAGCACCAACAACUGCAGGCUGUGGAGGACCUUUGGUUUGGUUCCAGCAUGAAGCUCCUUUUUCAGGUCAUGCCACAGCAUCUCAAUAUGAUUCAGAACCCAAGUUGGUUUCAGCUCAAGGUCACCAACAGAUGGCCGGACAUUCUCCUUCAGGAUUUCUUGGUAGGCAGAAGAAUUCAUGGUUCCAUACAGUAACUCUUCCAGGUCCUCCCUGGAAGUUCAUAAUUUAAUCCUGUCAGACGAACCCUGAGAGGACAUCGUCUUUGGCAUUUCUAGGGACAAACGUGGGACAACAUGAGGUCUACCGUGUUCUUCACGAUGGCCGGUGGUGGGUGGAGGAGGUGAGGGUGAUGGUGCGCCAGGCUCAUCUGCCAGGCGUCCACCAAUAAGACGUCCAACCCUUUAAACAUGGCGCGCAGCACGGCGUCCAGCUGCUGCGAGAACCAGUCGCUGUUGUACAGGCUCACCUGCUGGUCCAGGGCCUGGGGGUUGGCCGAGCGGAUCACGACCAGCGUCCCCGGCGCUCGGUCCAGAAGUUGCGCCACAGCCUUGCGGAUGUGCCGCAGGCGGCGUAUGUACACCUCCACGGGGAAGGUGCUGAAGUGAGACCAGAUGCUGAUGGCCACCACCGUGUUGGGACCCCCCGUCAGGCCGUCCAGCUCGUUAGAGAUGUACCGCAACUCGCUCGCCAUGACGGUGGAGAAGCGGAUGGGUGGUCCGUGACAGCGGUACUUCACCAGAAUAUUGUGAGUGCUGUCCACCGCCAUGAAGGGUCCUACCAUUUUAGGACUCCGAAGGUUGAAUUCCUUCAAGUCUGAUGAACAGAAUGAGGCCACAGUUGGUGGGAAUAAAAGCAUUCAUGUUUACCAGAUGAAAGCGCUCACCUGCCAGUGCUUUCACCAGGAAGUCAAACCACUGGCGAAUGGUGGAGUCGCCGUACAGGUGGACCACCUUAUUGGUCAAACACUGAGCGAUGGCGGAUGAGUCAAAGUGGCGCAUUGCGAUGUCGCCUAAGGUUCUCCAUGAUUCCUGGUAGUAGUACCCGGACGUCGCUUGGUUGACAGCAUCUGGUUUUAAACGCUUGCUUUCUACGUCAAUACAAUUUCAUGAAUAGACUCCAUGCAAAAAAACAAGCAAUGGGUUUCUUUGGGGGUCCUACCUGUCCUUGAAGGCAGCACGCUGAUUGUGUCGUUUCCGGAAGCCCGGAUGGGAACUUUGAUGUUGACACCACUGACAGAGGAAAAGGAGGAUCAGCAUUACAACUGCGAGUACUACAGUUACUGCAAACAGUACAUCAGGUACACCUGCACAGUCGACUGGAUCUACAGUCUAGGUUUGGUGCUAAAAUAAAGUUCUACUCUGAUCUUCAUCCUGGUUCCAGUUGGAAUAACUUUUGAUUGGAAACCAAGUUAGCUUAACACCUGUGUCGUUCUUCAAAUGACGGAGGGGCCCUGAGUCUUUUAGUGGUUUUGGGGGUGCACGGAUUGUUCUGUGAAAUCAGUCUUUUCAGCACCAAGUUUUACCACCGUGUUUUUGGAGGGGAGGACAAUUCUACUACCCCAGCGUACUUCUACUACAUUUGACCGACACUUUCCAACUGGAACUUUCCAACUGUAGCGCCCCUAUAGCCUUCAAAGACGUCGUACCUGAACCUGGAUUCCAGGGGUCAAUAAAUCAUUGUGCUUGAUAAAACCAAGUUCUGCUGGAAAGGUAGAUCAAGCUGAUGGGGGGUGGCACGCAUUAUUGUUAGGUUUUUCAAGGUCUCUGAUCCGGUAUUAUUAGCUUGUGCAGGUGUAGCUAAUGUCAGUCAAUCACAGAGGGAGCGCGCAAACCUCUGAAAGAGCCUGGCUUCCUUGUCCGUGGUGAUGUUUUUGAGGUAGCCUCCCUUGGCAUGGUUGAUUCUUCUGUGGCAGCUGAGCAGCCGAGGCUUGUAACAGUACCAAGGCUCGCCGGUGCGAGGGUCCGUGUAGUCACACAGCGGCCCCCGGUCGGGCGGUAGGCACAUGUUACACACGGUGGUCUGAGAUUGAUGACCCAGACGGUAGAGACUGUUGAAAUACACGCGAUCGGGACGCUCUUCCCUCAGUCGCUGCAGCACGGCAACGGCUUCGCUGGAGUGCACCAUGGUGACCUCCACCUGAGCCGACCCUUCCCACAACAGAAGGAAUCGAACAGAGUAGAGUCCGUUCUUGUGGUCCGAUACCACCCCGGCCACACCUGCCCCAUAUUCCGGGGAAUGCAGUCGAGCUAGAAGAAAAUCGCCACCAUAGCCCUUGGGUCGGCCCUUGAAGUCGUACACCUGGACGAUGACUUCUAGCUGGUCGCCCACGUACCAAUGGCCCUUCUUCUCUGAGGGGAGGAUGGUGAAGGAGCUGUGGGCCGGGUCGCUGGUCUCGAGCAAGGCGACCGGUGCCGAGCCAAAGGGUGGUCCGGGCCAGGUGAUGGAAUUCAGCAAGCUGUGCUCCUCUCGCUCUUCUUCUGGUGUGGCUUUCUGGCCCAGCCGUGCACAGUAGGUGUGAUUGUGGUGGUACACCGGGACAGGUCCAGACAAAGAUGUGUGGAUGUGGCUCUGGAGCCGGGACAGCGCUGACACUGUGCUACAGUUCCAGUUCUGAAAACAGGCCAUGACAUGCAAUAUGGGAUGAAGCAUUUCAUCGGGAGAUUUUUUUGUCAGACUUUCAAGUUCUAAGUAUGUAUUUGUAAAAGUACUUGGACCUCCUUCUUCCUUGUUUGUUAUUUACCGCCAUUAAUGCGUUAUUUUUGACAGCCUACUAAUUAUACCAUCUUUUUGUCCCUGGUGGGAAAAAAUUUGGAGUGGGAGGCCACUGUAUGAGGAAAUAUUGAUUGGAGUAUGUUGAAUAUGUGUAUUUUCCAUACUUUGAAGAUAUUGUUGAUGUUGAAAUUUCAUGUUGAAUUCUAAAUCAUUCAUUCAUUUUCUACAGCUUAUCCUCACGAGGGUCGCGGGGGUGCUGGAGCCUAUCCCAGCCCUCUUGGGGCGAGAGGCGGGGUACACCCUGGACGGGUGGCCAGCCAAUCACAGGGCACAUAUAGACAAACAACCAUUCACACCCACAUUCAUACCUAUGGACAAUUUCGAGUGGCCGAUUAACCUAGCAUGUUUUUGGAAUGUGGGAGGAAACCUACGCAUGCACUGGGAGAACAUGCAAACUCCGCACAGAGAUGGCUGGAAUUGAACCUGGUUAUCCUAGCUAUGAGGCCUGCGUGUUAACCACUCUUCCUCCGUGCAGGCCAAUUCCAAAUCAUAAAGUGAAAUUGCCGUGGGCCAGCGCCGAAAAGCUGGAUCUUAAACAGUCAGAGGAUGCCCCCCAAGAUACAUGCGGUGGUCAAUAAACAAGCGAAACUUGACUCACCUCGAAAAUGCUGAUCUUGCGCAGAAGGAAGAUGAGGACCAACAGUGUUAGGAUGCCAAGGCCGUAUUUGACAAAUUUGUGGGCCAUGGUUAACCUCUUCCUGAGCUGCGGCGAUGAUGGCAUGGUCGUCAUUCUACCCUGGCAAGAGGACCAAAACCCCCAUUAAUGGAGGAGGACAUAUGUCAGCACCACCAACUGUUCAUCAGCAUCCAUGAUGCAGCGAGAUGAGCCCCGAUUGCAUGGAUCGGGGAUUGGAUAUACGUAAGUGUCGACACAAAGAUUUGACAGAUUUGAAAGACGCAUAUAAAAAAUAAGAGAGUCAGACAAACAUCAAAAAAGAUAAUGAGGAGAAAGGCAAAAUAAUUCAGGAGUUGAAAAAUACAAUUGACGACAUGGAUCAGAAUACAAGGAUGAACGACAUAAUGGUGACGGGGCUGAAGAUCAAACCCAGGUCUUAUGCCAGGGCAGCCAGGAACAGUGAGGAAGCAGACGAAAUGGACGUCGCCUCAACUGAGCAACAAGUAGUGGAUUUCUUAACAUCUAAAGAGGUAGAUGUUGACAUCGAAUCCUUCGACACUUGCAUCCCACUGUAUGGCAGGAACAGAGCCACACCCGUCGUCAUCGUCAAGUUCACAAACAGGAAAUCCAAGACCGCUGUACUAAAACAAGGAAAGAAGCUGAAAGGUACAAUGUCUACAUGAAUGACCACCUGACCAAACGUAAUGCUGAAAUCGCGAAGAAAGCACGCGUGACCUGAGAAAGCAGGGAAAGAGUGCCAACUGCAAAAUUUUCAUAAAGUUUAAUGGAGGACCGGAAGCCAGUGUGCUCGUUGUCAAAAAUAUCGCGGAUCUGGAUCAAUUCUUUUUCAACUCCAACUUGAAAAUGGAAAAAGUUUUAAACAUUACCAUUACGACACAAGAAGAUCUGCAACGAGACACCUUUGGCUUGACAAAUCACAAAAAUUGGAAUAGAUCCGGACACACAUUUUUUUCACACAUGAGAAUUGACUGUCGUUAUUAUACAGAAGAGGAAUACAACAACAAUUUAAAUAUUGGCGACAAGUUGUCAAUCAUACAUAUAAACUGCAGAAGUAUGCAUGCAAACUAUGACAACAUCAAACAAUAUUUGAAUUGUUCAAGGAACCUUUCAAAGUAAUCGCAAUCUCGGACACCUGGCUGAAUGAGGAUAAAGGCACAGACUUUGAGUUGGAAGGUUAUGAGAUGACCUGCAUCAACAGGAACAACACGAGGGGAGGAUGAGUCGCCCUGUAUGUGGACAAACAACUACAUUACAAAGUGGUAAAGAAUAUGUCAGUUGCUAUUGAUAAUAUCCUAGAAUGCAUAACAAUUGAAAUCUGUAAAGAACAAAGCAAAAACGUGUACAUAAGUUGUUUAUACAGAAUGCCACACUCAAGGAUAGAAAUGUUUGAAGAUUGGAUCAAAACAACCUUUUCAGAUAACAAUCAAAAAACUAUUUUCAUAUGUGGAGACUUCAAUAUUGACGAUUUUAUAGAUACAAUGUACAGCUUAAGUUUGUUUCCCAAAAUCACCACACAGUAGUAGAAUAACAGACCAUUGUGCCACUCUAAUCGACAAUAUAUUCACCAAGGAUUUUGAUAACAAAGCCACUAGUGGCCUGCUAAUCAAAGACAUCAGCGAUCAUCUUCCUGUGUUUACAAUUUAUAACCAUCAUUACAACAACAGACCAACGGAAACUACAAAGACUGUCCAAAGACUACGUUCUGAGGACAGAGUCAACGCUUUCAAGAAGGAUCCAGAAGAACAAAAAUGUGUGUGUACAGUGUGUACAGUGCCAAAGACAUGGAUGAAGCAUACAAACACUUUCUACAUACUUAAAUGAAGCUGUAUGAUAAGAACUGUCCCUGGAGAGAAAAGUCAAAGAAGCCAAAGAAAAACAACCAGCCAUGGAUGACAAAAGGCUUUACUAAUGCUUGCAAGAAGAAGAACACACUAUACAGGAAAUUCAUCAUUCAACAGACCAGAAUCAGACAGAACAACAAGACUUAUAAAAAUAAGUUGACUACAAUCCUAAGAGCGUGUAAGAAGGAAUAUUAUAGCCAACUAUUAGACAAGCACAAAAACAGUAUUCCAGCAACCUGGGGCAUACUAAAUAGUAUUAUCAGGAAAAGUAACAAGAAGACAGACUACCCUAAUUAUUUCAUGGUGGGAAACACCUAUAAUGAUGAUAUGGAUGAGACAGUUGAAAAGUUGAAUAACUACUGAAGGAUUGUCUGUGUGUUUGUCUCCUAUUUUUUGUGUCUCACUCAUAUAACUAUGCACUACAUUUAAUCAAGUAGAACCAGCAGCCUUGGGCAAAUCACAGGGCACAUAAUCGCUUUCAGGUACAUACAGUUCUGGAACAUCCACACAGACACGAUUUUGACUAACUACAGAUAACGGGAGGACAUGACGUCGGCAGCUGGUGAGAAGACGUCUGCCGAGGAGAGGACGGGGCCACCUGUGAUUCACCAGAGAUCUACUGACAUUUCUUAGCAUAAUAAAAGCCGGGCAGGGACAGUUAGCUGCACUCAUUUGUUCUGACCUGUAAGUAAAACCUACGUAACUGGGG